RNAcentral lists this ribosomal RNA (445 nucleotides) under Micrococcus sp. oral taxon F54. RNAcentral's name for it is "bacterial SSU rRNA". It matches the Rfam family "Bacterial small subunit ribosomal RNA", at positions 28 to 488 of the family's 1533-position model. The record is from RNAcentral. Lineage: Bacteria; Bacillati; Actinomycetota; Actinomycetes; Micrococcales; Micrococcaceae.
GAUGAACGCGGCGGCGUGCUUAACACAUGCAAGUCGAACGAUAAAGCCCAGCUUGCUGGGUGGAUUAGUGGCGAACGGGUGAGUAACACGUGAGUAACCUGCCCUUGACUCUGGGAUAAGCCCGGGAAACUGGGUCUAAUACCGGAUAGGAGCGCCUGUCGCAUGACGGGUGUUGGAAAGAUUUUUCGGUCAUGGAUGGACUCGCGGCCUAUCAGCUUGUUGGUGAGGUAAUGGCUCACCAAGGCGACGACGGGUAGCCGGCCUGAGAGGGUGACCGGCCACACUGGGACUGAGACACGGCCCAGACUCCUACGGGAGGCAGCAGUGGGGAAUAUUGCACAAUGGGCGGAAGCCUGAUGCAGCGACGCCGCGUGAGGGAUGACGGCCUUCGGGUUGUAAACCUCUUUCAGUAGGGAAGAAGCGAAAGUGACGUACCUGCAGAAGA